This 744-nucleotide ribosomal RNA is filed under the name uncultured bacterium. RNAcentral's name for it is "bacterial SSU rRNA". It matches the Rfam family "Bacterial small subunit ribosomal RNA", at positions 8 to 796 of the family's 1533-position model. The record is from RNAcentral.
AGAGUUUGAUCAUGGCUCAGAACGAACGCUGGCGGCAGGCCUCAAACAUGCAAGUCUAGGGGGUGUAGCAAUACAUCACCGGCGGACGGGUGCGUAACACGUGGGAAUAUACCUUUUGGUUCGGAACAACGCAGGGAAACUUGCGCUAAUACCGAAUGUGCCCUUACGGGGAAAGAUUUAUCGCCAAAGGAUUAGCCCGCGUCCGAUUAGCUAGUUGGUGGGGUAAUGGCCCACCAAGGCUCCGAUCGGUAGCUGUUCUGAGAGGAAGAUCAGCCACACUGGGACUGAGACACGGCCCAGACUCCUACGGGAGGCAGCAGUUGGGAAUCUUGGACAAUGGGGGAAACCCUGAUCCAGCCAUGCCGCGUGAGUGAUGAAGGCCUUCGGGUUGUAAAACUCUUUCGACGGGGACGAUAAUGACGGUACCCGUAGAAGAAGCUCCGGCUAACUUCGUGCCAGCAGCCGCGGUAAUACGAAGGGGGCUAGCGUUGUUCGGAAUUACUGGGCGUAAAGCGCGCGCAGGCGGUCUUCCAAGUCAGUGGUGAAAGCCCGGAGCUCAACUCCGGAAAUGCCAUUGAAACUGUAAGACUUGAGGAUGAGAGAGGUGAGUGGAAUUCCCAGUGUAGAGGUGAAAUUCGUAGAUAUUGGGAAGAACACCGGUGGCGAAGGCGGCUCACUGGCUCAUUUCUGACGCUCAGGCGCGACAGCGUGGGGAUCAAACAGGAUUAGAUACCCUAGUAGUCC